ACUUCAGGCAGUGGUGGGUGCACACAGUCCAGUGGGAGGAUUUUUGAGCCCAGGACUUCUGGGUUGUGGUUCACUGUGCCCAUCAGGUGUCCACACUAAGUUCCACAUCAACAUGGUGACCUCCUGGGAGUGAGGGAUCAUCCAGUUGUCUAAGGAGGAGUAAGACAGCCUAGGUCAGAAAUGGAGCAGGUCGAAACUUCCAUACUGAUCAGUAGAAGAACUGUAUCUGAAUAACCACACUGCAGCCUGGGCAACAUAGCGAGACAGUCUCUU
RNAcentral lists this signal recognition particle RNA (273 nucleotides) under Aotus nancymaae (Ma's night monkey). Its description in RNAcentral is "Metazoan signal recognition particle RNA (ENSANAG00000005205.1)". The stretch from base 43 to 259 matches the Rfam family "Metazoan signal recognition particle RNA", at positions 61 to 283 of the family's 299-position model. Rfam says of the family: The signal recognition particle (SRP) is a universally conserved ribonucleoprotein. Lineage: Eukaryota; Metazoa; Chordata; Mammalia; Primates; Aotidae. The record is from RNAcentral.